GAUGAAGAACGUAGCGAAAUGCGAUAAGUAAUGUGAAUUGCAGAAUUCAGUGAAUCAUCGAAUCUUUGAACGCACAUUGCGCCCGCCAGUAUUCUGGCGGGCAUGCCUGUCCGAGCGUCAUUUCAACCCUCGAACCCCUCCGGGGGGUCGGCGUUGGGGAUCGGCCCUUUACGGGGCCGGCCCCGAAAUACAGUGGCGGUCUCGCCGCAGCCUCUCCUGCGCAGUAGUUUGCACACUCGCAUCGGGAGCGCGGCGCGUCCACAGCCGUUAAACACCCCAAACUUCUGAAAUGUUGACCUCGGAUCAGGUAGGAAUACCCGCUGAACUUAAGCAUAUCAAUAAGCGGA
RNAcentral lists this unclassified non-coding RNA (347 nucleotides) under soil metagenome. Its description in RNAcentral is "partial contains 5.8S ribosomal RNA, internal transcribed spacer 2, and large subunit ribosomal RNA". The stretch from base 1 to 120 matches the Rfam family "5.8S ribosomal RNA", at positions 35 to 154 of the family's 154-position model. The record is from RNAcentral.